Molecule: ribosomal RNA, 506 nt
Filed under: uncultured bacterium
Lineage: Bacteria
Description: partial 16S ribosomal RNA
Rfam family: Bacterial small subunit ribosomal RNA
Source: RNAcentral
GAUGAACGCUAGCUACAGGCUUAACACACGCAAGUCGAGGGGUAACGAGAGGAAAGCUUGCUUUCCAUGUCGACGACCGGCGCACGGGUGAGUAACGCGUAUCCAACCUGCCCCCAACUAGGGAAUAACCUUGCGAAAGUAAGACUAAUACCCUAUAAUUUCCUCAGAUGUCAUCUGACGAGGAAUAAAGAUUUAUCGGUUGUGGAUGGGGAUGCGUCUGAUUAGCUUGUUGGCGGGGUAACGGCCCACGAAGGCAACGAUCAGUAGGGGUUCGGAGAGGACAGUCCCCCACAUUGGAACUGAGACACGGUCCAAACUCCUACGGGAGGCAGCAGUGAGGAAUAUUGGUCAAUGGGCGGAAGCCUGAACCAGCCAAGUAGCGUGCAGGAUGACGGCCCUAUGGGUUGUAAACUGCUUUUAUACAGGAAUAAAGUUAGCCACGUGUGGUUAUUUGUAGGUACUGUAUGAAUAAGGACCGGCUAAUUCCGUGCCAGCAGCCGCCGUAA